GUUGAGAAUUGUUGGUCUAGAGGACUCCUGAAGAGCUGCUUGCCUUCAGUCUAUAAUGAGAUCUCAAGAGUUGUUGAUAAAGGAAUGCCACAACAAUUCUUUCUGCGGAGAGUGAGGGUAAGAAGGCAAAAAGCAAAGAUCCCUUCCUUCAUGUCCUUGUCAUUGGAUGGCCAUCAGAAGGAGCCAUCCAGAUUUAGGGUGAAUUCCCAUUUCAAGUAAGCCACCAAGGAAGUCUUCAACCAAGGAAGUCAUUCACAGAGUACUCAACAGCUUGUGUUUUAGUGGAUCUCAGAUGCAGUCAAGUUCGAAAGCAAAAUUAGCUAUCACAGGUGGUAUCCUGAUUUGGCCUGCCGACGGUUUCUUGUCUGGGGUGAGCAGACAUUUGCUCGUGUUUACCCAGGAAUAGUGUCAAACAACAUGCACUUGCUGGAUUGCCCUUUGGAAGGCUCUUUUUCUGCGCCAUGCCCAUUCCCAUCAUUCAAACCGCUGCUGUCACCCUAGAAAGUUCUCUGACUAUCUGAAAUAACCUUCUCUCAUUUCACUCUUAUCUUACCCGUCUUUAUUUUUUGCAUGUAUUUAUCUGUGGGGUGUGUUCAGGCCAUCACAUAUGUAUGAAGGUCAGAAGACAACUCAUGAAUGGAUUCUCUCCUUUCACCACAUGGAGCCUGGGGAUAGAACUCUGGUAGUUAGGCUUGGCAACACAUAAAUUUACCCACUAAACUCUGGUUAGUUGGCUUACGUGUGCUAAGAUUCAUCAUGCCUACACCACUGUCUGUGUUCAUUUACAACCCACCUCUCUUGUUACAAGGUAUAUCUAAAGGGACAAAGGCUUCUAUUGCUAUUUUUAGACAACCCCUCUCUCUAACAUAAUGUCUGGUGUGUAGCAGGCAUUCAGUGAACCCUCUCAUUAUUUGUAUAAUAAAUAAUGAAUGAGAGGAGAUUCCUUCUUGAAUGAACUUUGCAUCUGUCUCAUACUCUCAGAACUCGACUUCUGCCUGUUGGUUUCUAUAAUUCAGGUUCCUUUACAUCAGUGGUUCUCAACCAGAGGGUCGAAUGAUCCUUUCAUAGGGGUUGCCUAAGACUCCCAGAAAACACAGAUAUUUACAUUACAAUUCAAAGCAGUAGCAAAAUUGCAGCUAUGAAGUAGCAACAGAAAUAAUUUUAUGGUUGGGGUCACCACAACACAAGGAACUGUAUUAAAGGGCCACAGCAUUAGGAAGGUUGAGAACCACCACCUUACAUGGCGUCUUGGAAAUGGAAGGUGCUCAGUCAACUUUCCUUUUUUGUGUUCAUGUAUCAAUGGGAAGUAGAUAAUGCUUGUGACAGUGACGUUUAGGGGAGAUUCAUGGUUUCUGGUAGCUAAACAGGGACUCAAAACAGAGCUGAGGAUUCAGUGGGUAGAAGGCUUGACUCUGUGUCUGAUGAUCUAAGUUCAAUCCCCAGACUCCAUAUGGUGAAAGGCAAGAACUGACCUCCACAGGUUGUCUUUUGACACCCCCCCCCCACAUGUCACAGAACACACUCACAAGCACAUAAUAAUGUUGUAAAUAAUGCAAUAAAAUAAUUUCCUAAAAGCCAAUAUUUAUUUUAUUUUGCAACGACCCUAUCCAACAGUCCUUUUUUUUUUCUUUCUUUCUUUCUUUCCCAAAUACUAUUCCGGUGUAUUCGUGUUCACAAGAGAGACUGCUGAGCCCAUCCCCCAGCCAGGACACUUGGCCCUGAGUUGCUCAAGAGCCCUCAUCCUCAGUCAUUGCAGGGACUUGUUGCCAUGGAAACUGCAGCCAGUGUUUCCAUGGAGAAAGAGCUGCAGAGUCUGGAAUUUUCCAGGUUCUAAAGGUGAAUGUAUAUUCUCUUGAAAACAACUCUGAAUGCUUUCCCCCAGGCUGGCCUUCAUGGUAGCCACUGGCCACUCAUGGCUUACUGGCCACUUGAAUAUUGGCUGCUUUGAACAGAAGUGUGUCUCCAUCAGAGCACAUACACUAGAGGUUGAGGUGUUAUUACAAAACUUGGUUUUGAAAUGGUUGCCAUAAUUUUCUUAUUGAUCAAGUCUGUGUAUGGUUUCUGUUUUUAAUUUUCUGUGUUUUUUGUAUCAAAAAUUUUAAAUAGAUAAAAUUAAUUUAUUUUGUGUAUGCAGAAGGAUUUUUGUCUCCAUAAUGCACAUGUGGAGGUCAGAGGACAAGUUACAGGGGCUGCCUAUUGCUUUAGUUGCAAGGAUUGCGCUGAUGGCAUGAUUUUGUGAUUGAAGUGUUCUUCCUGUUGGAUUGCACUAGUCUAAAAUGUGUGUAAGUGAAUGCAUUUUGGUGGUAUAAUUUUGGGGGGUUUGUUAGAUAUUUGUUCCUCUCUCUCUCUCUCUCUUUGAGAAAAGGUCUGGCCUAAAAUUUACUCCACAGUCUGUGAUCAUUUUGAGCUUUUGAGCUUCCUGCCCCCACUUUCUGAAUGCUGUUAUUACAUGAUUACAGGUGUGCCCCCACCACACCACACCUGGUGAUACUGGAUAUUUAACUCGGAGCUUUGUGAACACUGGGCAAGUACUCUAUCAACUGAGCUAUACCUCCAGCUCUCUUUUAACUUCUUUUUAAAGGGUUAACCAAGAUGAGUGUCUGUAAUCCCAGUCCCUUCGAGGUGGAGGCAGGAGGAUCAGGAGUUCAGGGUCAUCCUUGGCUAUAGAGCUUUUCUAAGCCAGCUUAGAGUAAUCGGACCCUGAACAGACCCCUACCCCCAAAAAACUAACAACAGCAAUAGUAAUAGACUUAAUUAAAUAUGGUAGUCAAUGAGUUUACAAAUAAAAAUUUCAGUAGUGGAUUAGGUGAAGUCCAGAGAGUGAUCUACAAAAUAUUUUCUAUUUUCAUCUGAGUGAACUUAUUAAAUAUAUAGCAAGCC
RNAcentral lists this long non-coding RNA (2880 nucleotides) under Mus musculus (house mouse). RNAcentral describes it as "long non-coding RNA chr7:6809000-6811880". The record is from RNAcentral. Lineage: Eukaryota; Metazoa; Chordata; Mammalia; Rodentia; Muridae.